CACGGAGGAUGCGAGCGUUAUCCGGAUUUAUUGGGCUUAAAGGGUGCGUAGGCGGGAUGCCAAGUCAGCGGUAAAAAUGCGGUGCUCAACGCCGUCGAGCCGUUGAAACUGGCGUUCUUGAGUGGGCGAGAAGUAUGCGGAAUGCGUGGUGUAGCGGUGAAAUGCAUAGAUAUCACGCAGAACUCCGAUUGCGAAGGCAGCAUACCGGCGCCCUACUGACGCUGAGGCACGAAAGCGUGGGUAUCGAACAGG
RNAcentral lists this ribosomal RNA (252 nucleotides) under uncultured bacterium. RNAcentral describes it as "partial 16S ribosomal RNA". It matches the Rfam family "Bacterial small subunit ribosomal RNA", at positions 524 to 776 of the family's 1533-position model. The record is from RNAcentral.